CAAAUUAAAGCUUUAAUAAGCGUUUUAUUUACGUUAAAGAGAUUAUUUUAACGAGUAUAGUUUGA
RNAcentral lists this transfer RNA (65 nucleotides) under Dryocoetes autographus. RNAcentral describes it as "tRNA-Val". Lineage: Eukaryota; Metazoa; Arthropoda; Insecta; Coleoptera; Curculionidae. The record is from RNAcentral.